GUGGGAUACUGGGGGGUACUGGGGGUACUGGGAGAUAAUGGGGGAUACUGGGGGGUACUGGGAGAUAAUGGGGGGUACUGCGGGGUACUGGGGGAUACUGGGAGAUAAUGAGGGAUACUGGGGGAUACUGGGGGGUACUGGGAGAUAAUGAGGGAAACUGGGGGAUACUGGGAGAUAUUGGGGGAUAGUGGGGGAUACUGGAAGAUAUUGGAGGAUACUGGGAGAUAUGGGGGUGGGAUACUGGGGGGUACUGGGCAGGAUAUGGGGGAUCACUUGGGGACCGCCUGCCCCACACUUAUGGGGUUCACCGUGAGCCCACUGGGGUCAAUUGGAGAUCUUCUGCCCCACAUCUGUGGGGUUCCAUGUGGGCUCAUAGGGGUCACCUGGGGACCUUCUGCCCCACACUUAUGGGGAUUGCUGUGGGUU
RNAcentral lists this long non-coding RNA (426 nucleotides) under Gallus gallus (chicken). RNAcentral describes it as "lncRNA (ENSGALG00010028805.1)". The record is from RNAcentral. Lineage: Eukaryota; Metazoa; Chordata; Aves; Galliformes; Phasianidae.